GCCAAUCGGCUGCGGCUGAAUCCCGGGGAGUGAGGAUCCGAGAGCGGAGCCGGAGCAGCGAGCGGGCAAGCGGCUGGGGCAGCGACCAGGGGCAGGAGCAGUGAACGGGAGGCAGCUGGCUAGUCCCUCGUGCGCUCCGGGAGCCGCCCCAUUCCCCACCUCCACUGUAGCACCAGGCUUCUUCGGCCAGAAGGACUCAGGCGUCCCCGGCACCCCAACCAUGGAGCAAGACAACAGUCCCCGGAAGAUCCAGUUCACUGUCCCGCUGCUGGAGCCGCACCUGGACCCGGAGGCGGCGGAGCAGAUCCGGAGGCGUCGCCCCACCCCUGCUACUCUUGUGCUCACCAGUGACCAGUCAUCUCCAGAGAUCGAUGAAGAUAGGCUUCCCAAUCCUCUGUUUAAGUCCACAUUGUCCAUGUCUCCAAGGCAGCGGAAGAAGGUGACCCGGACCACGCCCACGAUGAAAGAGCUCCAGAUGAUGGUGGAACAUCACCUGGAACAGCAGCAGAAGCAGCAGGGGGAAGAAACUGAGGCAGCAACAGCUGAAAGUGAAGAAACACAGGAGACCUGCCUGCCUGAGACUGAGGAAAUGGAUUCAAGGCUGAGCCUCACUGAAACUGCCCAGAGGCUUCCAGAAACCAUCCCCAAGAUCCAGGAGACUGGCAGUGAGGAAUCUAGCUCAGAGGCACCAGCAGUUCAUAUACAACCUUCAGGCUCCAGGGGGGCAGACUAGGUGCCCACACCACCUCUGAGGGUCAAACCAAAGUAGGUGGCCUGGAGCUACAGCAGGAGGGCUUGAGGUUAGACAUCAAGAAGGAAUUCCUGCCUCUGGAAUAGGUCAGAGGGCCAUGAAGCUGACCAGGAAUCGAGGCUGGGGCUGGGGCCCCCGCGAAUGCUGGUUCUUUUCUUCUUGUUUCUUCACAUCUGGGGGAAAACUCUUGUUUCUAAAAAGUGAUAAAUCUGGUGUUGGGCCUUUGGUGCCUUUCUUCUUUCCCAGA
This is an RNA transcript of Phascolarctos cinereus (koala), 998 nucleotides long. It is a transcript of the gene named protein phosphatase 1 regulatory inhibitor subunit 1A, with no coding region annotated. The record is from RefSeq and is a predicted model, not a curated record. Lineage: Eukaryota; Metazoa; Chordata; Mammalia; Diprotodontia; Phascolarctidae.